UUUUUUUUAUCACUAAGUUUUGUUAUUUUUUAAUGAUAUUAAUUUAGAAUGACAUGUGGCACUCAUUGGUGUGAUGAUGUGUUACUCAUAUGGAGAGUGUUGGCCAACUUUCAUAUAUAUAAUUUUAUCAGAGAUCAUUUCUAAACUAGACAUUUUAAAGUUGUGUAUUAUCUACCUAAAUUAUCCAUAUAAAAGAUGGAAUAGCACAUUGCAAGUAUUAUAUCGUA
RNAcentral lists this small RNA (227 nucleotides) under Arabidopsis thaliana (thale cress). RNAcentral's name for it is "ATSL080670". The record is from RNAcentral. Lineage: Eukaryota; Viridiplantae; Streptophyta; Magnoliopsida; Brassicales; Brassicaceae.